Lycium ferocissimum is the source of this 908-nucleotide long non-coding RNA. RefSeq lists it as uncharacterized. The record is from RefSeq and is a predicted model, not a curated record. NCBI's taxonomy places the organism in Eukaryota, Viridiplantae, Streptophyta, Magnoliopsida, Solanales, Solanaceae. The transcript has 2 exons.
CUCUCUCUCUCUUACCAUUUCUGUGAAACCCUAGCCGCCGCCCCUUAGAUCCUGACCUCCCUCAUGCCAAAAAUGGCGCGUCCACAGAUCUGGGCUGACAUGCGCAGUAAGUGCAUGCCUAUAAUGGUGAAAGUUUAAUGUUUACUCCAUUUUCAUGCUCUGCUUUACCCGAAUAUGGUAAAAUCUUCCUUUUACUAUAUUGUUUUCCAAUUUUUUGUCAAGAUUGUCUUUAUUUGUUGCUUUUACGAUUAUUUUCAUUGGUAUUUUGCUAUUGGUCCAUUUUCAUUAGGCCAGAUCGACCCAAGAGGGCCAGAUCUAACCGUGCAUUUACUUGUUUAUGAUCUAGAUCGUUGGUUUGUUGGCAAAUCUUUGUCCCACAGCGGUGUUUGUGGAUUUUGUUUCAAACUUCGGGGUUCUAUAAAUGGAACCCCAGUCUUUGCACAAAGGAGAGGUCUAGUUUUUGAGAAAAAAGGUCAAAAACUGAAAAAACUAAGGAAAGAGAUAUAAAAAGAAUUUUAGAAAAAAGAAGUGAAAAACUUAGAUUUUUUCAAAAGACUUCCGAGUAAAAAGAAUUUUAGAAAACCUAAACCAAAGAGUUGGGGUUUUAAUUGAAAUAUUUGGUCCUCAUUUGCUUUAUUUUCUUCGUGUGUGGCUGAGUUUGUUGAUUUGGAAGCACAGAGGCUCUCAAAUCCAUUCUUCCCUUGGCUGCGCGUGUAAAAGGUUAAUUUAGUUUAUUUCAUUUUUUAUUUAGCAUUUAAUAUUCUUCUUAUUCUGCUUAGUUUGGAUAUGUUUGUAGGUUGAUUAUGUUUAUAUGUUCAUGUCUUGUUGGGUUCUGUGUUUAAUGUGUGAUCUAUUUGGUAAAAACAGAAUAAAAAUAGAUGAAAAUGUCAUGUUAAAGUUCUUUUAAA